Molecule: transfer RNA, 88 nt
Organism: Beauveria bassiana ARSEF 2860
Lineage: Eukaryota; Fungi; Ascomycota; Sordariomycetes; Hypocreales; Cordycipitaceae
Rfam family: tRNA
About the family: Transfer RNA (tRNA) molecules are approximately 80 nucleotides in length. Their secondary structure includes four short double-helical elements and three loops (D, anti-codon, and T loops).
Source: Rfam
GCCUGGUUAGCUCAAUCGGUAGAGCGUGAGACUCUUACGAGAGUAUACACCCAUCUCAAGGCUGCGGGUUCGACCCCCGCAUCGGGCU